GGUUUUGCCAGCCUAGUGGCCUGGAGCUCCUUGUUAGCUGCUUUUGGGCAGUGGACAUUCAGCGCAUUUGCCUGAAGCAACAAGUUCUAGGGUGAAGACACGAAGUUGGAGAAGGGCAGCAAGUUCAAGAAACACAAAGUAAAGGAAAAGAAUCUGCUUUUAUUUGAACUCAAGAGAGCCAUAGCCGGACCAGCUGAUCAGAAGACUGUCUGCACCAGGGCAAAACCGUAACAGUGGUAGUUAUACAUUAUGGAGCACAUCUUCCACCGUCAUUAUGUCCUUCCUCCACACUCCCAGGGAUGCUUCUGUGGGGAAGGUACCCAGAUGUUGAACCUGGGCUGCUUGCAGUCCUACUUUAAAUAUUCG
Balaenoptera ricei (Rice's whale) is the source of this 366-nucleotide long non-coding RNA. RefSeq lists it as uncharacterized. The record is from RefSeq and is a predicted model, not a curated record. The transcript is spliced from 5 exons. Lineage: Eukaryota; Metazoa; Chordata; Mammalia; Artiodactyla; Balaenopteridae.